This is an RNA transcript of Enhydra lutris kenyoni (northern sea otter), 2954 nucleotides long. It is a transcript of the gene named C-type lectin domain family 2 member F-like, with no coding region annotated. The record is from RefSeq and is a predicted model, not a curated record. The transcript is spliced from 10 exons. NCBI's taxonomy places the organism in Eukaryota, Metazoa, Chordata, Mammalia, Carnivora, Mustelidae.
AAAUGACGGAAGCUCUCAAAUGGUGUGAUUAAAUUUAGAUAAACCAGGAUAAUCCCCACGCCGGAUCCUUAACUGAAUCACAUCUGCAUCAUCCUUUUUCCCUGCAAAUUAACAGGUGAGAGCUCUAGGGAUUAGGACCUAAUAUCUUUGGUUUGUUGUUUUUCACUCUACCACAAUCUGGAAGGGAUAAAAUUCCAAGUGGUCAUGGUCAUCUGGAUACCACAACAGAACUAUAAAAAGGGAGCUGUAAGGAGAAGGCUGUGGAAUCCACACAUUUGUGGAAGCUGCUACCUAGAGGGGAAUUGCCAUCUGUGAGGAAGUGGCUGUCUCUGUGGAAAAUGGUUUCUCCACAAAGCCCACUGUCUCUCGGGAAUCACGUUUCUGUGGAAGCUGCUGCUUUGUGGGACUGCAGUCAUGACUCUGGGGUAGAGCUGGAGGUGCUGUGGGUUGGCAGAGUAAGAAGUCAGAAAGACGAAGUAACUGGAUGUGGAGAAGGAGGAGAUAGAUGAUGACGUGGAGUCUACCUGGCACUUCAGCAUCCACCUGUUGUUCUGUUUGACCUCAGCAUCCUUCUGAGAGUAACGAUCUCUGUCUUGGUUUUAUCUUUCAGAGUUCCCCUCAUGGCCCAGUUCUGAUAAACACAGGGAAAGGGAUUUGUGCGAAAUGGAUUUCCCAGACAGGAAUUUUGGUGCUAGUUUGACCACAGAAAAAUCCAGCAUAUUCCACAUUUCUGCUGACAUUUAGUAUUGCCAGCCUUUAAUUUCACCCAUUUUGGACUUCUAGUAGACAGUAGAGGUUACUGAAUAAAAAUUACUGACAAAGGCCAUUCUGAUCUUGUUCCAGAGCUCAAAAGAGGAAACAUUCACUUUUUUACCAAAGUGUCCCAAUCCUGUCUGUAUACAGAGGAGCUGCAGCCUAUCAGAGGCCUCAGAUAAGUACAGACAUGGCUGCAAGACUGAAAGUCUUUCUUCCUCUUAUCUCUCUUCCUUUUUUCUCAUUUCUCUAUAACUCUCAAUGAGAGGAAGUUUUAAAAAUUGUUUUGGUUAGUGCCAGGCAAAGGGACACAGAUCCCUAACAAUACAUGUGCAGAUAUAACAUAGAAUUUGUUGGAGAAUCACCUUCAAGCAGAGAAAGACGAGAAGGACACCAUCCCCACACACUCACUUUUCCACAAUAGUGGUCUGGCAUAAAUGUUCUGUAUGUGUCAUGGCAAAGGUCCUGACAGAGUGGAUUUGCCUUUGCUGGGAGACUGUAUGUACGCAAAGCACUCCUAGAGAGAGACAGAGGAUAAGGCCCACUCUGUAACUCUGUUAGUUAGGGGUAAGUUAACCUAAGAGGAGUUAGGGAGCAUCUAGUUUCUUUAGCAGCAAGAAACACAGUAAGGGAUCUGGGGCCCAGAAACCACACCAGGAAGUAUGCACACUGAUGGCCGAGGUGGGUAUACCAAAGGCCCUAGAAAUUGCUUUGUAGUCCAGGAAAGCUGAAAUAAGUCUUGCUGUCUCUCUUUAGACUGCCUCAACCUUUUUGAGCCAGCUCCCAGCUAAAGUAUACCAAAAGGGUCAUGCAAGCCAGGAUCUUAUAAAGUCCACUCAGCAUUCUCAGGAGGCCAGGAUCUGUGCAUUUACUGAUCAAGGGUACAAAGUGAAGAUGGGUGCUUGGGAAUCAUUGUUUUUGACCAAUCCUAGGCUGCUGAGCUCACACCCCUGGAACAAGGGUAGCCGUUAGUGCUGCCUGGAAACCAUUACCGUUCCAGCUUCAUAACAGAAGAGCCUUGUCUAUGAGCUUUGGAGAUGGAGAGCGAAAGGAUUGAGAAUAGGGAUGGGAUGGAGGUUGUCGAGCAGAAGAUCAAGAGACCAGGUGUAGUAACGAAGAAAAUGCUAGUCAUGUCAAGUAUGCUAUGUGGAGGCAUCGCUUUUCUUCUUUGGGCAAUGUUAGGAUUUCCUAGAAAAUUUAAAAAUCCAAGGAUAUUUAAAGACAAUACAUGCUCUGAAGAUGAAACUAUAUGUCCACAAGGCUGGAACCAAAUCAAUAAUAAUUGCUUCUUUCAAUCUGAACAUGAAAAAACUUGGAUAGAUGGCCAAGCAAACUGCAUAGCCUAUCAUGGAUCUCUCGCCAUAUUCAACUCCAAGAAUGAAGUGGAAUCUUUGAUGCCCUAUCUGGAACCUUCUUCAUAUUGGAUUGGACUAAAGAAGCCAAAUGCAAGCGCACCCUGGGUGUGGGCAAAUGGAGAUGCAUUUGACAAUUGGUUUAAUAUUGAAGGAAGUGGAACGUGUGCCUUCAUGUUUAAGAAUGGCAUAAGCAGUGCCAGUUGCAAUGAUGCAAUAAAAUAUGUAUGCAGCAGAGAAUCCUUUUGUCCUUAGACAAAGGGUCCUUCAUAAUAAAAAAGCUUGCUCGGCUUUUUGUGAUCCACGUCUAGUUAUCUUCUUUGAUUUGGAUCAAUCACCACAGUUGCCAUGAUCACCCCAGAGCAGCAUGAUGGCAGACAUGAUAACUGGAAACAUAGGACAACAAAGAGAAGUUAUUUACCACAGUUUUACCCAAUCCUGUAACCAAGAUUGCUUUCUCUGUCUCAACCAGCACAGACCAAGGAUGGAUAGAAAUAGCUAAUAUCCUGCUGAAGUGAAUGAAGAUGUUUCUAAAUGUUUAUGCUUGGGUCAAGUUGACUUUCAGAAUCAUUACGUGUCCAGUGUGUUUCCCCAGCAUCAUCUUGAUAUUAUAGGAAAUAUACAUAGAGAAAAUCUGGAAGUGGCUUGAAGAUAAAGAGGCUGAAAGGGACUUUUGAAGAAGUGUAAAGAUUGACUGAGUCUAGCAGAAAUUUCUAUACUAGAAUAUUUUUAAUGAUAAUAUCUCUGUUUUACAAGACAAUUUCAAUUUUGAGAAAUUUUAAUUAGAAGAAUAUUUCUUUACUAAAUAUAUGUAAUGCCAGUGAUUAUUCACUUAGGAGUGGUUCAAGU